This is an RNA transcript of Pan troglodytes (chimpanzee), 15907 nucleotides long. It is a transcript of the gene named baculoviral IAP repeat containing 6, with no coding region annotated. The record is from RefSeq and is a predicted model, not a curated record. Lineage: Eukaryota; Metazoa; Chordata; Mammalia; Primates; Hominidae. The transcript has 76 exons.
CGGCCGGGCGAUCGACGUUCCGUGUGCGUGCGGGCGCCUGACUUCACUUCCGGCUAACGCGCUCGGCUUGCCCCCUGGCCCCGGAUGGUGACUGGCGGUGGUGCUGCACCUCCCGGGACUGUCACUGAGCCGCUUCCCAGUGUGAUUGUGCUGAGCGCAGGCCGGAAGAUGGCGGCUGCGGCUGCGGCGGCCUCGGGCCCCGGCUGCUCCUCGGCGGCGGGGGCGGGGGCGGCCGGGGUCUCAGAGUGGCUGGUGCUGCGGGACGGCUGCAUGCACUGCGACGCCGACGGGCUGCACAGCCUGUCCUACCACCCUGCGCUCAACGCCAUCCUGGCCGUCACUAGCCGCGGGACCAUCAAAGUCAUCGACGGCACCUCGGGGGCCACACUGCAGGCCUCCGCGCUCAGUGCGAGCCGAAAAUUAGGAUUUGAAGCUAAACCAGGUGGACAGGUGAAAUGUCAGUAUAUUUCUGCUGUGGAUAAAGUUAUAUUUGUGGAUGAUUAUGCAGUAGGGUGUAGGAAGGACCUUAAUGGAAUCUUGUUGUUAGACACUGCUCUGCAAACUCCAGUUUCAAAGCAGGAUGAUGUGGUUCAGCUUGAAUUACCCGUUACAGAGGCACAGCAGCUCUUAUCAGCAUGUUUAGAAAAGGUAGAUAUUUCUAGUACAGAGGGUUAUGAUUUGUUCAUCACACAGCUCAAAGAUGGUUUAAAAAAUACAUCUCAUGAGACUGCAGCAAACCACAAAGUUGCUAAGUGGGCCACAGUUACAUUUCAUCUUCCUCAUCAUGUGUUGAAGUCCAUUGCCAGUGCCAUUGUAAAUGAACUCAAGAAAAUAAAUCAAAAUGUUGCUGCCUUACCUGUGGCGUCCUCAGUGAUGGACAGAUUGUCUUACCUCUUACCUAGUGCACGUCCAGAACUCGGAGUGGGGCCAGGCCGUUCUGUAGACAGAUCACUGAUGUAUAGUGAAGCUAACAGACGGGAGACAUUUACCUCAUGGCCUCAUGUAGGCUAUAGGUGGGCACAACCAGAUCCCAUGGCUCAAGCUGGAUUUUAUCAUCAGCCUGCCUCAUCUGGAGAUGAUAGAGCCAUGUGUUUUACUUGUAGUGUAUGCCUCGUUUGUUGGGAACCUACUGAUGAACCUUGGUCUGAACACGAAAGACAUUCCCCAAACUGCCCAUUUGUGAAAGGUGAGCACACACAGAAUGUGCCAUUGUCAGUCACUCUUGCAACAAGUCCUGCACAGUUUCCUUGUACGGAUGGAACUGACAGAAUAUCUUGCUUUGGGUCGGGGAGCUGCCCUCAUUUUCUAGCUGCUGCAACUAAACGAGGAAAGAUCUGCAUAUGGGAUGUUUCCAAACUUAUGAAGGUGCACUUAAAGUUUGAAAUUAAUGCCUAUGAUCCAGCAAUUGUACAACAGCUUAUUCUAUCAGGAGACCCAAGCUCAGGAGUUGAUUCAAGGAGACCAACUUUGGCGUGGCUGGAGGACUCCUCUAGUUGCUCAGAUAUACCAAAAUUGGAAGGAGAUAGUGAUGAUUUACUGGAGGAUUCAGACAGUGAAGAGCAUUCCAGAUCAGAUUCUGUGACAGGGCAUACAUCACAGAAGGAAGCCAUGGAAGUAAGCCUUGAUAUAACAGCACUCAGCAUUCUCCAACAGCCAGAAAAACUUCAGUGGGAGAUUGUUGCAAAUGUGCUUGAAGAUACUGUUAAGGAUCUUGAAGAACUUGGGGCAAAUCCUUGUUUAACAAACUCUAAGAGUGAAAAGACAAAGGAAAAGCACCAGGAGCAACACAACAUUCCUUUUCCAUGUUUAUUAGCUGGAGGUUUAUUAACAUAUAAAUCUCCUGCUACCUCACCCAUUAGUAGUAAUUCUCACAGGUCACUGGAUGGUUUAAGCAGAACUCAGGGUGAAAGUAUAUCAGAACAAGGGUCAACUGACAAUGAAUCCUGCACUAAUUCAGAACUAAAUUCUCCUCUGGUAAGGAGGACUUUACCGGUUUUGCUUCUUUAUAGCAUCAAGGAAUCUGAUGAGAAAGCAGGAAAGAUCUUUUCACAGAUGAACAAUAUUAUGAGUAAAAGUUUGCAUGAUGAUGGUUUUACUGUUCCACAGAUUAUUGAAAUGGAGCUGGAUAGUCAGGAGCAGUUGUUAUUGCAGGAUCCUCCUGUGACUUACAUUCAGCAAUUUGCAGAUGCAGCAGCCAACCUUACCUCUCCGGAUUCUGAGAAGUGGAACUCUGUGUUUCCCAAGCCUGGGACUUUGGUUCAGUGCUUGAGGCUGCCAAAGUUUGCAGAGGAGGAGAAUCUUUGUAUAGACUCAAUAACUCCUUGUGCUGACGGAAUUCAUUUGUUGGUAGGACUGCGGACAUGCCCUGUUGAAUCCUUGAGUGCAAUAAAUCAAGUAGAGGCCUUGAAUAAUUUAAAUAAAUUAAACUCUGCACUAUGUAAUAGACGGAAAGGUGAGCUGGAAUCAAAUCUUGCUGUAGUGAAUGGUGCAAAUAUUAGUGUAAUCCAACAUGAAUCACCAGCAGAUGUACAGACUCCUUUAAUAAUUCAGCCUGAGCAGAGGAAUGUUAGUGGUGGAUAUUUAGUGCUUUAUAAAAUGAAUUAUGCCACUCGGAUAGUGACUUUAGAAGAGGAGCCAAUAAAAAUACAACAUAUCAAAGAUCCCCAGGACACAAUUACCUCACUCAUUUUGCUUCCACCCGAUAUAUUGGAUAAUCGAGAGGAUGACUGUGAGGAACCUAUUGAGGACAUGCAGUUAACCUCAAAGAAUGGUUUUGAGAGAGAAAAAACGUCUGACAUUUCUACUCUUGGACACCUGGUAAUAACCACUCAGGGAGGAUAUGUAAAAAUACUAGAUCUUUCAAACUUUGAAAUUUUGGCCAAAGUGGAGCCUCCCAAAAAGGAGGGCACUGAGGAACAGGACACAUUUGUUUCUGUGAUUUACUGUUCUGGCACAGACAGGCUGUGUGCGUGCACCAAAGGUGGUGAGCUUCAUUUUCUCCAAAUUGGAGGAACCUGUGAUGAUAUUGAUGAAGCUGAUAUACUAGUGGAUGGAUCUCUUUGUAAAGGAAUAGAACCAUCUUCAGAAGGUUCCAAACCUUUAUCAAAUCCUUCAAGUCCUGGCAUUUCAGGAGUUGAUUUAUUGGUGGACCAGCCAUUCACCCUUGAAAUCUUGACAUCCCUAGUGGAGCUAACCCGCUUUGAGACUUUGACUCCAAGGUUUUCAGCGACUGUUCCUCCAUGCUGGGUAGAAGUUCAACAAGAACAGCAGCAAAGGAGGCAUCCUCAACAUUUGCAUCAGCAACACCAUGGUGAUGCUGCUCAGCAUACUCGAACUUGGAAACUACAGACCGACAGCAACAGCUGGGAUGAACAUGUAUUUGAAUUAGUACUACCUAAAGCUUGUAUGGUUGGACAUGUGGACUUCAAAUUCGUUUUGAACUCAAACAUCACCAAUAUUCCACAGAUACAAGUGACACUGCUGAAAAAUAAAGCUCCAGGAUUAGGGAAAGUCAAUGAAACAGCAGUAGAUAGGCAGAUCACCUUUCCUUUGUCUCCAGCUCUUAACAUUGAAGUGGAACAAAAUGGGAAACCGUCCCUGGUUGAUUUGAAUGAAGAAAUGCAGCACAUGGAUGUAGAGGAAUCACAGUGUCUUAGAUUAUGUCCAUUUUUGGAGGAUCAUAAAGAAGACAUUCUAUGUGGGCCAGUAUGGCUUGCUAGUGGCCUUGAUCUAUCAGGGCAUGCUGGAAUGUUGACGUUAACAAGCCCCAAACUUGUUAAAGGUAUGGCAGGAGGAAAAUAUCGUUCGUUUUUAAUCCAUGUCAAGGCAGUGAAUGAAAGAGGAACAGAAGAGAUUUGUAAUGGUGGUAUGCGUCCUGUAGUAAGGCUUCCAUCCCUAAAACACCAGAGUAACAAGGGUUAUUCACUUGCUUCACUUUUGGCUAAAGUUGCAGCAGGCAAGGAAAAAUCAUCUAAUGUUAAGAAUGAAAAUACAAGUGGCACCCGUAAAUCUGAAAACCUCCGGGGCUGUGAUUUACUUCAAGAGGUCUCAGUCACCAUUCGAAGAUUUAAGAAAACUUCAAUUUCUAAGGAAAGAGUGCAACGAUGUGCCAUGUUACAGUUUUCAGAAUUUCAUGAGAAGCUUCUUAAUACUCUUUGCAGAAAAACAGAUGAUGGCCAGAUCACAGAACAUGCCCAGAGCCUUGUGUUGGAUACUCUCUGUUGGUUAGCUGGAGUUCAUUCAAAUGGACCCGGAAGCUCAAAGGAAGGAAAUGAGAACCUACUUUCAAAAACACGAAAAUUUCUGUCAGACAUCGUACGUGUUUGCUUCUUUGAGGCAGGACGAAGUAUAGCCCAUAAGUGUGCCCGAUUUCUAGCCUUGUGCAUUAGUAAUGGCAAAUGUGACCCAUGUCAACCAGCAUUUGGAUCUGUUCUGUUGAAGGCUUUACUUGAUAAUAUGUCAUUUUUACCUGCAGCAGCAACUGGUGGUUCUGUCUAUUGGUAUUUUGUCUUACUGAAUUACGUGAAAGAUGAAGAUCUGGCUGGAUGCAGUACAGCUUGUGCAUCUUUGCUUACUGCAGUGUCCAGACAGUUACAGGACAGGCUAACACCAAUGGAGGCUUUACUUCAGACAAGAUAUGGAUUAUAUAGCUCACCAUUUGAUCCAGUCCUCUUUGAUUUGGAGAUGAGUGGCUCUUCUUGUAAAAAUGUUUAUAACAGCAGCAUUGGUGUCCAGUCAGAUGAAAUUGAUUUAUCAGAUGUCCUUUCAGGAAAUGGAAAGGUCAGUAGUUGCACAGCUGCUGAGGGUAGUUUCACAUCUCUCACUGGACUUUUGGAAGUUGAACCUCUGCACUUUACUUGUGUGUCAACUAGUGAUGGAACCAGAAUAGAAAGGGAUGAUGCAAGUACGUUUACUGUGAGUUCCUUCGGGGUUACUCCUGCAGUAGGUGGACUAUCAUCUGGGACAGUUGGGGAAGCCUCGACAGCCCUGAGUUCAGCAGCCCAGGUAGCUUUGCAGUCUCUCUCUCAUGCAAUGGCUUCAGCCGAGCAACAGCUACAGGUGCUGCAAGAGAAACAGCAGCAGCUUUUGAAGCUUCAGCAACAGAAAGCAAAGCUGGAAGCCAAGUUACAUCAGACAACAGCUGCAGCAGCUGCAGCAGCAUCAGCAGUAGGUCCUGUUCACAACUCUGUGCCUUCCAACCCAGUGGCUGCCCCUGGAUUCUUCAUUCAUCCAUCUGAUGUUAUUCCACCCACUCCAAAAACAACACCUCUUUUUAUGACUCCACCACUCACUCCACCCAAUGAAGCAGUUUCCGUUGUGAUUAAUGCCGAACUUGCACAGCUUUUCCCAGGCUCAGUCAUUGAUCCCCCAGCAGUCAAUCUUGCUGCACAUAACAAAAAUUCCAACAAGUCCAGAAUGAAUCCACUUGGUUCUGGUCUAGCCCUUGCAAUUUCUCAUGCUUCACAUUUUCUUCAACCUCCGCCUCACCAGUCCAUUAUUAUAGAGCGAAUGCAUUCAGGAGCAAGGAGAUUUGUGACCUUGGAUUUUGGGAGGCCUAUAUUGUUGACUGAUGUAUUGAUUCCCACUUGUGGAGACUUGGCCUCUUUGUCAAUUGACAUUUGGACAUUAGGAGAAGAGGUGGAUGGAAGGCGGUUGGUAGUGGCAACUGAUAUAAGCACCCAUUCACUAAUUCUUCAUGACUUAAUACCACCUCCCGUGUGCAGAUUCAUGAAGAUCACUGUCAUUGGACGUUACGGGAGUACAAAUGCCAGAGCCAAAAUCCCAUUAGGAUUUUACUAUGGUCAUACCUACAUCUUGCCUUGGGAAAGUGAACUGAAGUUAAUGCAUGAUCCUCUAAAGGGAGAGGGAGAAUCUGCAAACCAGCCAGAAAUUGACCAGCAUUUAGCAAUGAUGGUUGCUUUACAGGAGGAUAUACAGUGCAGGUAUAACUUGGCUUGUCAUCGUCUGGAAACCCUUUUGCAAAGUAUUGAUCUUCCUCCUCUAAACAGUGCUAACAAUGCACAGUACUUUUUACGAAAACCAGAUAAGGCAGUUGAGGAAGACAGUAGGGUUUUUUCUGCUUAUCAAGAUUGUAUUCAGCUACAGCUUCAACUAAAUUUGGCUCAUAAUGCAGUGCAGAGGCUCAAAGUGGCGCUAGGUGCAAGCCGGAAGAUGUUGAAUGAAACAUCAAAUCCAGAAGAUUUAAUUCAGACAUCUUCCACAGAGCAGUUACGUACUAUCAUCAGAUAUUUACUGGACACUUUGCUCAGCCUGCUUCAUGCUUCUAAUGGACACUCUGUUCCUGCAGUUUUGCAGAGCACAUUUCAUGCCCAGGCCUGUGAAGAGCUCUUUAAACACUUGUGCAUCAGUGGAACCCCAAAGAUACGGUUACAUACUGGUCUUCUUCUUGUUCAACUGUGUGGUGGUGAAAGAUGGUGGGGUCAAUUUCUUUCUAAUGUCCUUCAGGAAUUGUACAAUUCGGAACAGCUUCUCAUCUUUCCACAGGAUAGGGUCUUCAUGUUACUUUCCUGCAUUGGUCAAAGAUCACUUAGUAAUAGUGGAGUAUUAGAAAGCUUACUUAAUCUCUUGGAUAAUUUAUUGUCACCUCUUCAGCCACAGUUACCCAUGCAUAGGAGGACAGAAGGAGUACUAGAUAUUCCCAUGAUCAGUUGGGUUGUUAUGCUGGUGUCCAGGUUGCUGGAUUAUGUGGCAACUGUUGAAGAUGAAGCAGCAGCUGCAAAGAAACCUUUGAAUGGUAAAGACAGGGAGAGGUUUCUGACAGGUAAUCAGUGGAGUUUUAUUAACAAUAAUCUACACACUCAGAGCUUAAAUAGAUCUUCUAAAGGCAGCAGUAGCCUUGAUAGAUUAUAUUCCAGAAAAAUCAGAAAGCAGCUUGUUCAUCAUAAACAGCAACUUAACCUACUAAAAGCAAAGCAGAAGGCAUUGGUAGAACAGAUGGAAAAAGAAAAAAUACAAAGUAACAAAGGAUCAUCAUAUAAACUCCUGGUAGAACAAGCAAAACUAAAGCAGGCCACUUCAAAGCACUUUAAGGAUUUAAUUCGUUUACGUCGGACAGCAGAAUGGUCCCGUUCUAAUUUAGACACAGAAGUUACAACAGCAAAAGAAAGUCCUGAGAUAGAACCACUUCCAUUUACUCUGGCCCAUGAACGUUGUAUCUCAGUAGUCCAGAAACUUGUUCUGUUUCUUCUCUCCAUGGACUUUACCUGUCAUGCAGAUCUCUUAUUGUUUGUUUGUAAGGUUCUUGCACGCAUUGCAAAUGCCACGAGGCCAACUAUUCAUCUGUGUGAGAUUGUGAACGAACCCCAGCUGGAAAGACUGCUGUUACUUUUGGUUGGAACUGACUUCAAUAGAGGAGAUAUAUCUUGGGGUGGUGCUUGGGCUCAGUAUUCCUUAACUUGCAUGCUACAAGAUAUUUUAGCAGGAGAAUUACUGGCUCCAGUAGCCGCAGAAGCCAUGGAGGAAGGAACAGUGGGUGAUGAUGUAGGUGCGACAGCUGGUGACUCUGAUGACUCCCUUCAACAGUCCUCAGUUCAGUUGCUGGAAACUGUAGAUGAACCUUUGACACAUGACAUAACAGGUGCACCUCCUCUGUCCUCUUUGGAAAAAGAUAAAGAAAUUGACCUUGAGUUACUUCAGGAUCUAAUGGAAGUUGACAUUGAUCCUUUAGAUAUUGAUUUGGAAAAGGACCCUCUUGCAGCCAAGGUUUUUAAGCCAAUAAGCAGUACAUGGUAUGAUUAUUGGGGUGCUGAUUAUGGGACCUACAAUUACAACCCUUACAUUGGAGGUCUGGGAAUUCCUGUAGCAAAGCCACCAGCAAACACGGAGAAGAACGGAUCACAGACAGUUAGCGUUUCAGUCUCUCAGGCCCUGGAUGCUCGCCUAGAAGUUGGACUUGAACAGCAAGCAGAACUGAUGUUGAAAAUGAUGUCUACUCUGGAGGCAGAUUCCAUUUUACAGGCAUUAACAAAUACAUCUCCUACGUUAUCACAGUCUCCCACUGGAACAGAUGAUUCACUUCUAGGGGGUUUACAAGCAGCAAACCAAACCAGCCAGCUUAUUAUACAGUUAUCAUCUGUCCCAAUGUUAAAUGUUUGUUUCAACAAACUUUUUUCCAUGCUUCAAGUCCAUCAUGUUCAGUUGGAGUCACUUCUCCAAUUGUGGCUCACACUGAGCCUGAAUUCUAGUUCAUCUGGAAACAAAGAAAAUGGAGCAGACAUAUUUUUAUAUAAUGCUAAUAGGAUACCUGUUAUUUCAUUAAAUCAAGCAUCAAUAACUAGCUUUCUCACAGUGUUAGCUUGGUAUCCCAAUACUUUGCUCCGGACAUGGUGCCUUGUGCUUCAUAGCCUAACACUCAUGACAAACAUGCAGCUUAAUUCUGGUUCCAGCAGUGCCAUUGGAACUCAGGAGAGUACUGCUCAUUUGUUGGUUUCAGAUCCAAACCUAAUUCAUGUAUUAGUGAAAUUUCUUUCUGGCACCAGUCCACAUGGAACAAAUCAACACAGUCCACAGGUUGGUCCCACAGCUACACAAGCUAUGCAAGAAUUUCUUACUCGAUUACAAGUGCAUCUUUCUUCAACAUGUCCUCAGAUAUUCAGUGAAUUUUUGCUCAAGCUAAUUCAUAUACUUUCAACUGAAAGGGGUGCUUUCCAGACAGGCCAAGGACCUCUCGAUGCCCAAGUGAAGCUCUUAGAAUUCACUCUGGAGCAGAAUUUUGAAGUCGUUUCAGUUAGUACUAUUUCUGCCGUGAUAGAAUCGGUUACAUUUUUAGUGCACCACUAUAUCACUUGCUCAGACAAAGUAAUGUCAAGAAGUGGAUCAGAUAGCUCCGUGGGUGCUCGAGCAUGCUUUGGGGGACUCUUUGCCAAUCUUAUUCGUCCGGGUGAUGCAAAAGCAGUUUGUGGCGAAAUGACAAGAGAUCAACUCAUGUUUGAUUUGUUAAAACUUGUUAACAUUUUAGUGCAGCUGCCUCUUUCAGGCAAUAGGGAAUACAGUGCAAGAGUGUCUGUGACCACAAAUACAACAGAUAGUGUUUCAGAUGAAGAAAAAGUCUCAGGAGGCAAAGAUGGCAAUGGAAGCAGUACCAGUGUUCAAGGAUCGCCUGCAUAUGUUGCUGACUUAGUCUUAGCCAACCAACAAAUUAUGAGCCAGAUUUUGUCUGCUCUGGGCCUGUGUAAUAGCAGUGCCAUGGCAAUGAUAAUUGGAGCAAGUGGAUUACAUCUCACUAAACAUGAAAACUUUCAUGGUGGGUUGGAUGCCAUAUCAGUUGGGGAUGGAUUAUUUACCAUACUGACAACCCUUAGUAAGAAAGCUUCUACAGUCCACAUGAUGCUGCAGCCAAUUUUAACAUACAUGGCCUGUGGAUAUAUGGGCAGACAAGGCUCUCUUGCUACUUGCCAGUUAUCUGAGCCAUUAUUGUGGUUCAUUUUGAGAGUAUUGGAUACUAGUGAUGCCUUGAAAGCAUUUCAUGAUAUGGGUGGUGUUCAGCUCAUAUGCAAUAAUAUGGUUACUAGUACAAGGGCUAUUGUGAACACUGCAAGAAGUAUGGUAUCAACUAUUAUGAAAUUUCUUGACUCUGGUCCAAAUAAAGCUGUUGACAGCACAUUGAAAACAAGAAUACUAGCUUCUGAGCCUGAUAAUGCUGAAGGGAUUCAUAACUUUGCACCCCUUGGUACAAUCACAUCUAGCAGUCCUACUGCCCAACCAGCUGAAGUGCUAUUGCAGGCCACACCUCCUCACAGAAGAGCUCGCUCUGCUGCUUGGUCCUACAUCUUUCUUCCAGAGGAGGCUUGGUGUGACCUUACCAUUCACCUUCCUGCAGCAGUGCUGCUUAAGGAGAUACAUAUCCAGCCUCAUCUUGCAUCUCUUGCAACCUGCCCUUCCUCAGUGUCUGUUGAAGUAAGUGCAGAUGGGGUAAAUAUGCUACCUUUGUCCACUCCUGUUGUCACAAGUGGCCUCACCUACAUAAAAAUUCAGCUUGUAAAAGCCGAAGUAGCUUCUGCUGUCUGCCUUAGACUACAUCGUCCACGGGAUGCCAGCACAUUAGGCCUUUCACAAAUUAAAUUAUUGGGGCUCACUGCUUUUGGUACCACCUCUUCUGCAACAGUUAAUAAUCCAUUCCUUCCAUCUGAAGAUCAGGUAUCCAAAACAAGUAUUGGAUGGUUACGGUUAUUACAUCAUUGCCUUACUCACAUAAGUGAUCUAGAAGGAAUGAUGGCAAGUGCAGCUGCACCUACUGCUAAUCUGCUGCAGACUUGUGCGGCCUUAUUGAUGUCACCUUACUGUGGAAUGCAUUCACCCAACAUCGAGGUUGUGCUUGUAAAGAUAGGACUGCAGUCUACUAGAAUUGGCCUGAAGCUCAUAGACAUUCUCCUGAGAAAUUGUGCAGCAUCAGGCAGUGAUCCUACAGAUUUGAAUAGUCCUUUACUUUUUGGAAGACUAAAUGGACUCUCUUCUGACUCUACGAUAGAUAUUCUUUACCAGCUUGGAACAACUCAGGAUCCUGGUACAAAAGACAGAAUUCAGGCCUUGUUAAAAUGGGUUAGUGAUUCUGCAAGAGUGGCUGCUAUGAAGAGAAGUGGCAGGAUGAACUACAUGUGUCCUAACUCCUCAACAGUAGAGUAUGGUCUUCUGAUGCCAUCUCCUUCUCAUUUGCACUGUGUAGCAGCCAUUCUGUGGCACAGUUAUGAGCUGCUUGUAGAAUAUGACUUACCAGCACUCCUGGACCAAGAGCUCUUUGAGUUACUUUUUAAUUGGUCCAUGUCUCUUCCCUGCAAUAUGGUUUUGAAGAAAGCUGUUGACAGUCUACUUUGCUCAAUGUGUCACGUACACCCAAACUAUUUUUCUUUGCUCAUGGGCUGGAUGGGAAUUACCCCUCCUCCAGUGCAAUGUCAUCAUAGACUGUCCAUGACAGAUGAUAGCAAAAAGCAGGAUCUUAGUUCAUCUUUAACAGAUGACUCUAAAAAUGCACAAGCACCUCUCGCAUUAACUGAAUCACAUUUGGCUACCCUUGCUUCCUCUUCUCAAUCUCCUGAAGCUAUUAAACAAUUACUAGACUCAGGUUUGCCUUCUCUUCUUGUGAGGAGUCUGGCUAGUUUCUGCUUUAGCCACAUUUCUAACUCAGAAAGCAUUGCUCAGUCAAUAGAUAUUUCCCAGGACAAACUCAGGCGCCAUCAUGUCCCACAACAAUGUAAUAAGAUGCCUAUCACAGCCGACCUAGUUGCUCCUAUUCUUAGGUUUUUGACAGAAGUUGGCAAUAGCCAUAUUAUGAAAGAUUGGCUUGGUGGUUCUGAAGUCAAUCCACUAUGGACAGCACUUCUGUUUUUAUUGUGUCACUCUGGGUCCACUUCUGGAAGCCAUAAUUUAGGUGCACAACAGACCAGUGCAAGAUCAGCUUCUCUUUCUUCAGCUGCUACAACAGGAUUGACUACUCAACAGCGCACAGCAAUUGAGAAUGCAACUGUUGCAUUCUUUCUACAGUGCAUUUCAUGCCAUCCUAAUAAUCAAAAGCUGAUGGCACAGGUUCUUUGUGAACUAUUUCAGACAUCUCCUCAAAGAGGGAACCUUCCAACAUCUGGGAACAUUUCAGGGUUUAUACGAAGAUUAUUUUUACAGUUGAUGCUGGAAGAUGAGAAAGUGACAAUGUUUCUUCAGUCUCCAUGUCCACUGUACAAAGGUAGAAUUAAUGCUACUAGCCACGUCAUCCAGCAUCCAAUGUAUGGAGCAGGCCACAAAUUCCGUACUCUUCAUUUGCCAGUCUCAACAACAUUAUCAGAUGUUCUUGACAGAGUGUCAGAUACUCCAAGUAUCACAGCCAAAUUAAUUAGUGAACAAAAAGAUGACAAAGAAAAGAAAAACCAUGAAGAGAAAGAAAAAGUUAAAGCGGAAAAUGGAUUUCAAGACAAUUACAGUGUUGUUGUUGCCUCUGGGCUGAAGUCUCAAUCUAAACGUGCUGUGUCAGCUACACCACCUCGCCCACCAUCCAGGAGGGGGAGGACAAUACCUGAUAAAAUAGGAAGUACUUCAGGAGCAGAGGCUGCCAACAAAAUAAUUACUGUCCCAGUGUUUCACCUGUUUCACAAACUCUUGGCAGGCCAGCCAUUGCCAGCUGAAAUGACACUUGCCCAGCUUUUAACCCUCCUAUAUGACCGAAAGCUUCCUCAGGGUUACCGCUCAAUAGAUCUGACUGUUAAAUUGGGAUCAAGAGUUAUAACAGACCCCAGUCUAUCAAAAACAGAUUCUUAUAAAAGACUACACCCUGAAAAAGAUCAUGGAGACUUACUUGCUAGCUGUCCAGAAGAUGAAGCUCUCACUCCAGGUGAUGAAUGCAUGGAUGGGAUACUGGAUGAAUCUUUGCUUGAAACCUGUCCAAUUCAGUCACCAUUACAAGUUUUUGCAGGAAUGGGUGGACUGGCUCUUAUUGCUGAAAGACUACCCAUGCUAUAUCCAGAAGUAAUUCAACAGGUGAGUGCUCCAGUUGUAACAUCUACCACUCAGGAAAAGCCGAAGGAUAGCGAUCAGUUUGAAUGGGUGACCAUUGAACAGUCAGGGGAGUUAGUUUAUGAAGCACCAGAAACUGUUGCGGCUGAACCUCCACCUAUCAAGUCAGCAGUACAGACCAUGUCUCCCAUACCUGCCCAUUCUUUGGCUGCUUUUGGAUUAUUUCUUCGUCUUCCGGGCUAUGCGGAAGUGCUACUGAAAGAGAGAAAACAUGCCCAGUGCCUUCUUCGAUUGGUAUUGGGAGUGACUGAUGAUGGAGAAGGAAGUCAUAUUCUUCAAUCUCCAUCAGCCAAUGUGCUUCCAACCCUUCCUUUCCACGUCCUUCGUAGCUUGUUUAGCACUACACCUUUGACAACUGAUGAUGGUGUACUUCUAAGGCGGAUGGCAUUGGAAAUUGGAGCCUUACACCUCAUUCUUGUCUGUCUCUCUGCUUUGAGCCACCAUGCCCCACGAGUUCCAAACUCUAGCGUGAAUCAAACUGAGCCACAGGUGUCAAGCUCUCAUAACCCUACAUCAACAGAAGAACAACAGUUAUAUUGGGCCAAAGGGACUGGCUUUGGAACAGGCUCUACAGCUUCUGGGUGGGAUGUGGAACAAGCCUUAACUAAGCAAAGGCUGGAAGAGGAACAUGUUACCUGCCUUCUGCAGGUUCUUGCCAGUUACAUAAAUCCCGUCAGUAGUGCGGUAAAUGGAGAAGCUCAGUCAUCUCAUGAGACUAGAGGGCAGAACAGUAAUGCCCUUCCUUCUGUACUUCUCGAGCUUCUCAGUCAGUCCUGCCUCAUCCCAGCCAUGUCAUCUUAUCUGCGAAAUGAUUCAGUUCUGGACAUGGCAAGACAUGUGCCACUCUAUCGGGCACUGCUGGAAUUGCUUCGGGCCAUUGCUUCUUGUACUGCCAUGGUGCCCCUAUUGUUGCCCCUUUCUACAGAGAACGGUGAAGAGGAAGAAGAACAGUCAGAAUGUCAAACUUCUGUUGGUACAUUGUUAGCCAAAAUGAAGACCUGUGUUGAUACCUAUACCAACCGUUUAAGGGCAGUGAUCACAACCAGAUUCAACGUAUGCACAAAGCAGCGGAUACCAUGGUAGCGGCCGUCGCUGAUUGCUUUUACCAUGUUGGAUCCAUUGUCAGUCUCAAAGACCUACUUCCAGCUAGGUGCCUUGAACUCAAAUAGCUUUUCACACAGACUUCAGGAUGUGAGCUAAGAUCUAAAAGGGAAAAUGUUAAAACAGGAGUAAAACCAGAUGCGUCUGAUCAAGAACCAGAAGGACUUACUCUUUUGGUACCCGACAUCCAAAAGACUGCUGAGAUAGUUUAUGCAGCCACCACCAGUUUGCGGCAAGCAAAUCAGGAAAAAAAACUGGGUGAAUACUCCAAGAAGGCGGCUAUGAAACCCAAACCUUUGUCAGUAUUAAAGUCACUUGAAGAAAAAUAUGUGGCUGUUAUGAAGAAAUUACAGUUCGAUACAUUUGAAAUGGUUUCUGAAGAUGAAGAUGGGAAAUUGGGAUUUAAAGUAAAUUACCACUACAUGUCUCAGGUGAAAAAUGCUAAUGAUGCGAACAGUGCUGCCAGAGCUCGCCGCCUUGCCCAGGAAGCUGUGACACUUUCAACCUCACUGCCUCUGUCUUCAUCCUCUAGUGUGUUUGUACGCUGUGAUGAGGAGCGACUUGACAUCAUGAAGGUUCUAAUAACUGGUCCAGAGGACACCCCUUAUGCAAAUGGCUGCUUUGAGUUUGAUGUGUAUUUUCCUCAAGAUUAUCCCAGUUCACCCCCUCUUGUGAAUCUAGAGACAACUGGUGGUCAUAGCGUGCGAUUCAAUCCAAACCUUUAUAAUGAUGGCAAGGUUUGUUUAAGCAUCUUAAACACGUGGCAUGGAAGACCAGAAGAGAAGUGGAAUCCUCAGACCUCAAGCUUUUUGCAAGUGUUGGUGUCUGUCCAGUCCCUUAUAUUAGUAGCUGAGCCUUAUUUUAAUGAACCGGGAUAUGAACGGUCUAGAGGCACUCCCAGUGGCACACAGAGUUCUCGAGAAUAUGAUGGAAACAUUCGACAAGCAACAGUUAAGUGGGCAAUGCUAGAACAAAUCAGAAACCCUUCACCAUGUUUUAAAGAGGUAAUACACAAACAUUUUUACUUGAAAAGAGUUGAGAUAAUGGCCCAAUGUGAGGAGUGGAUUGCGGAUAUCCAGCAGUACAGCAGUGAUAAGCGGGUAGGCAGGACUAUGUCUCACCAUGCAGCAGCUCUCAAGCGUCACACUGCUCAGCUCCGCGAAGAGUUGCUGAAACUUCCCUGCCCUGAAGGCUUGGAUCCUGACACUGAUGAUGCCCCAGAGAUGUGCAGAGCCACAACAGGUGCUGAGGAGACUCUAAUGCAUGAUCAGGUUAAACCCAGCAGCAGCAAAGAACUCCCCAGUGACUUCCAGUUAUGAGCUGCAUUGAUGUGGACUUCAUAGACACAAAGGCUUCGAAGCACAAGCCAAAUAUGUCAAUAUUUGUAUGUAAGAAACUAAUUAUGUAAUAGGUAAUGAAACUGAAACUAUACUAUGCCCUUAAGGAGAUCCAGUUUAAUUCAAGGUGAUCUUUUAUUUACCUGUACAGGAGUGUAAACUUUUUUGUGCUUUUAUUUUUCAAUUGUGAGAACCACUGAUUGGUAUGUUCAACAAAUUUGUGUAUACAAAGAAAUGGAUAAAUCACUGCUAUAUAAGGGAAACUACCUUAGGAAAGAAUGUUUACUGAAUGUUUAUUUUAUUUUAUUUUUUACUGUAGAGUGAGGGGUUGUUAACAAAGAAUAUAUAUUGGUCAUUCUUACAACUACUAUUUAAAGUCAGCAACUUUUCACUGAAUUUGAUAGAUUUUAUGUUUGGCCAUAUCUUCAUGCUCACAUUUGAUUUCUGAAGACCUCCUACAUACACUUCAAUAAAAGUUAAAUGGACAUACUCCCUCUUUUUUGAUUUACUGGUACAUUUUUAAAAUAAUAAAUCUGCCAUAAAAUGCAUUAUAUCUCGAGACUUGCACUUGUAUGGAUGAAUUUAUUACAUUCAACAUAUUUAAUUUUAUGCCUUCUAAUUCUAAGAUGCAGAAAAAAAUAAAUGAACAUGAUUUUAUUCUAUGCCAACAUUUGGGCCUCUGAAUGUAUCUGUUAUUUGAAUUUAAGUAUUUGAAAAGGAAUGGUCAAUUUGAAAGUCAUUCUAAACUGAUUUUUUUUCUAAAGGGCUCCUUUUUUGCUGGACUAUGUGGUUUUAUGACUAAAGUCACAUGUAUGUAUUAAACAUUGAGGCUCUGUAGAGGAGAGAGGAUGUACCUCUCUGGUGCUGUUACAGUACAUUCUGUACCUGCCAUACAGGCUCAUUUUCAUGCAAAUUCUUCCUAGAGCCAAAUAAAUAAAGACUUAGGUGAAUUA